GAACGGGAUGCUUAGGCAUCUAGUGGCGGACGGGUGAGUAACGCGUGAGAAUCUGGCUCCAGGUCGGGGAUAACAGUUGGAAACGACUGCUAAUACCGGAUGUGCCGAGAGGUGAAAGAUUUAUUGCCUGGAGAUGAGCUCGCGUCUGAUUAGCUAGUUGGUGGUGUAAGGGACCACCAAGGCGUCGAUCAGUAGCUGGUCUGAGAGGAUGAUCAGCCACACUGGGACUGAGACACGGCCCAGACUCCUACGGGAGGCAGCAGUGGGGAAUUUUCCGCAAUGGGCGAAAGCCUGACGGAGCAAUACCGCGUGAGGGAGGAAGGCUCUUGGGUCGUAAACCUCUUUUCUCAAGGAAGAAGAAAGUGACGGUACUUGAGGAAUAAGCAUCGGCUAACUCCGUGCCAGCAGCCGCGGUAAUACGGAGGAUGCAAGCGUUAUCCGGAAUGAUUGGGCGUAAAGGGUCUGCAGGUGGAACUGAAAGUCUGCUGUUAAAGAGUUUGGCUUAACCAAAUAAAAGCGGUGGAAACUACAGAACUAGAGUGCGGUAGGGGCAAAAGGAAUUCCUGGUGUAUCGGUGAAAUGCGUAGAUAUCAGGAAGAACACCGGUGGCGAAAGCGUUUUGCUAGACCGUAACUGACACUGAGGGACGAAAGCUAGGGGAGCGAAUGGGAUUAGAUACCCCAGUAGUCCUAGCCGUAAACGAUGGAUACUAGGCGUGGCUUGUAUCGACCCGAGCCGUGCCGGAGCUAACGCGUUAAGUAUCCCGCCUGGGGAGUACGCACGCAAGUGUGAAACUCAAAGGAAUUGACGGGGGCCCGCACAAGCGGUGGAGUAUGUGGUUUAAUUCGAUGCAACGCGAAGAACCUUACCAAGACUUGACAUCCUGCGAAUCCUGGUGAAAGCUGGGAGUGCCUUAGGGAGCGCAGAGACAGGUGGUGCAUGGCUGUCGUCAGCUCGUGUCGUGAGAUGUUGGGUUAAGUCCCGCAACGAGCGCAACCCUCGUUUUUAGUUGCCAGCAUUAAGUUGGGCACUCUAGAGAGACUGCCGGUGACAAACCGGAGGAAGGUGAGGAUGACGUCAAGUCAGCAUGCCCCUUACGUCUUGGGCUACACACGUACUACAAUGCUACGGACAGAGGGCAGCGAGCCAGGGAUGGCAAGCGAAUCCAGAAACCGUAGCUCAGUUCAGAUCGAAGGCUGCAACUCGCCUUCGUGAAGGAGGAAUCGCUAGUAAUUGCAGGUCAGCAUACUGCAGUGAAUUCGUUCCCGGGCCUUGUACACACCGCCCGUCACACCAUGGAAGUUGGUCACGCCCGAAGUCAUUACCCCAACCGAAAGGAGGGGGAUGCCUAAGG
Molecule: ribosomal RNA, 1354 nt
Filed under: Cylindrospermopsis raciborskii
Lineage: Bacteria; Bacillati; Cyanobacteriota; Cyanophyceae; Nostocales; Aphanizomenonaceae
Description: bacterial SSU rRNA
Rfam family: Bacterial small subunit ribosomal RNA
Source: RNAcentral